GCGUCGGUGAUUAAAUGGCGUAAUGCUCGCCAGCUAAGCAAGAGGUCUAGGUUCGAUUCUCAGUCGACGCA
RNAcentral lists this transfer RNA (71 nucleotides) under Trichobilharzia regenti. It matches the Rfam family "tRNA". From Rfam's summary of the family: Transfer RNA (tRNA) molecules are approximately 80 nucleotides in length. Their secondary structure includes four short double-helical elements and three loops (D, anti-codon, and T loops). Lineage: Eukaryota; Metazoa; Platyhelminthes; Trematoda; Strigeidida; Schistosomatidae. The record is from Rfam by way of RNAcentral.